UGGGGAAUAUUGGACAAUGGGCGCAAGCCUGAUCCAGCCAUGCCGCGUGAGUGACGAAGGCCCUAGGGUUGUAAAGCUCUUUCAGUGGUGACGAUGAUGACGGUAGCCACAGAAGAAGCCCCGGCUAACUCCGUGCCAGCAGCCGCGGUAAUACGGAGGGGGCAAGCGUUGUUCGGAAUUACUGGGCGUAAAGGGCGCGUAGGCGGUCUGUUGCGUCAGGUGUGAAAGCCCCGGGCUCAACCUGGGAGGUGCACUUGAUACGGGCGGACUGGAAUCCGGGAGAGGAUGGUGGAAUUCCCAGUGUAGAGGUGAAAUGCGUAGAUAUUAGAAGGAACACCAGUGGCGAAGGCGACUGUCUGGGCUGAUACUGACGCUGAGGUGCGAAAGCGUGGGGAGCAAACAGGAUUAGAUACCCCCGUAGUCC
This 424-nucleotide ribosomal RNA is filed under the name uncultured prokaryote. Its description in RNAcentral is "bacterial SSU rRNA". It matches the Rfam family "Bacterial small subunit ribosomal RNA", at positions 355 to 796 of the family's 1533-position model. The record is from RNAcentral.